Molecule: ribosomal RNA, 916 nt
Filed under: uncultured bacterium
Lineage: Bacteria
Description: bacterial SSU rRNA
Rfam family: Bacterial small subunit ribosomal RNA
Source: RNAcentral
AGAGUUUGAUCCUGGCUCAGAAUGAACGCUGGCGGCGUGGCUAAAGCAUGCAAGUCGUACGCGAAAUCCCGGCUUGCCGGGAGAGUAGAGUGGCGAAAGGGCGAGGAAUACAUGGAUAACGUACCCUGGGCACGGGGAUAGCUGCAGGAAACUGCAGGUAAUACCCGAUGAGACCACGGCGGCGCAGGCCGCUGCGGUCAAAGGGUGGGGACCCCGCUUGCGGGGCCUGCCGGCCUGGGAGCGGCCCAUGUCCUAUCAGCUUGUUGGUGAGGUAACGGCCCACCAAGGCGACGACGGGUACCGGGACUGAGAGGUUGACCCGGCGCAUUGGGACUGAGACACUGCCCAGACUCCUACGGGAGGCUGCAGCGACGAAUAUUCCGCAAUGGGCGCAAGCCUGACGGAGCGACGCCGCGUGUGGGAUGAAGCCCUUCGGGGUGUAAACCACUGUCAGAGGCCACCAAGCGAUGGGGAUAAAUAGUCCCCAAAGUUGAGGAACCUCAAAGGAAGCCACGGCUAACUUCGUGCCAGCAGCCGCGGUAAUACGAAGGUGGCAAGCGUUGUUCAGAAUCACUGGGCUUAAAGGGCACGCAGGCGGCCGACCAAGUGUCUUGUGAAAUCCCCCGGCUUAACCGGGGAAUGGCAGGGCAAACUGGCCGGCUUGAGGCAGGUAGGGGCGAGUGGAACUCUUGGUGGAGCGGUGGAAUGCGUAGAUAUCAAGAGGAACGCCGGAGGCGAAAGCGACUCGCUGGGCCUGUCCUGACGCUGAGGUGCGAAAGCCAGGUAGCGAACGGGAUUAGAUACCCCGGUAGUCCUGGCCGUAAACGAUGUCCACUAGGUUGGAGGCUCUCUGACGGGUUUCCGGCCGCAACGAAAGCACUAAGUGGACCGCCUGGGGAGUACGGUCGCAAGGCUA